Anguilla rostrata (American eel) is the source of this 1977-nucleotide long non-coding RNA. RefSeq lists it as uncharacterized. The record is from RefSeq and is a predicted model, not a curated record. The transcript is spliced from 2 exons. NCBI's taxonomy places the organism in Eukaryota, Metazoa, Chordata, Actinopteri, Anguilliformes, Anguillidae.
UUAAUAAUAAAUCUCGAUGUACUUUCAUUGCCGUUACUCGUAUUCUAAACCCAUUACACUCUCCCUUUGAACAAUAAGUUGCUCAAAACAACGUUUACUUAAAAACGUGAACUUUUUUGGAACCUGUCUGUGCCCCCUAAACAAAAUCACAAAAGAGGAUUUUCUACAAACAUGAAAGGUACCUUUCAAUAUACAACAUUUAUCGCCACUUAAGUCAGCCAAUUUAUUCCACAUCGUCUGCUCGAUUUCGUAUAGCCUUUUGGAUUAUUUCAAUGGACGUUCACCAAUAAGCACAUAGAGGUACAGUAAAGUAGCAGGUAACCCUAAAUCACAGGUUACCCUAAACACUGUGGCGACGCAACCCUCGGUUUCGAAAAAACGACUUUACCCUUAAAUAAGGACCCAGCAAAACCCGCGCGAAUUCUGCGCGGACGAGGAAAACGUGGUAAAUAAGUGGUGUAGUCAGAGGGGAAAAAAGUACCUUUGUACCUUGCGGUGCACUGGUCGGACUAAUUAUCUCCCCCCCCCCCCAUAAUAAGUGUUUUAAUAAAGACACCAUAACUCUUGCAGUUUUUAAAUCAAAGAUGGCCCCAGUGGGGGCGCCUCAAACACUAGUCGGGCGUUACUGGGCCCGACUUAGGUUUGUUGGUGAUGACAUUUCACAAUACACCCAAAAAAAAAAAAAACAAAAAAACUUGCAUACAAAAAUAGAUUACAUAACAUACAUCCCUUUACAAAUCACACAAAGUUAUAUCCUGAUUUCAGCCCAUUCCAAAUCAUUGGGCUUUCUUUUAAGGUUCAGAGUUCUUUUCCUUCUCAAGGCAGUUACAAUUAGUUUAAAGAAGUAUCACUUAUGAAGACACUUUCCAUUAUCAUUUUAUAUCUGGUUUUCCACAAUUUACUUAGUGGUGCAAAUGCACAACCAGUAUGGUUUCUUUUGUUGUCACUAAAAUGUUCGUCAAAUCUGGAAGUAAAAAUUGUUUUCUGGUCACAUAUGUAUAGCCCAAUUCUUUUUAACUCGUCCCAUACUUCUUUUGACCUAUAGCAAUCAAUUGAGAAGUGUUUUCACAAAACAAUUCCGCUUCACCACUGCUCUUAAGGGGAGUCUGCCAUUCAUUGUUCAUGCAUUUCCCCUGACUUUAUGUAUAUAUAUAUAUAUAUAUCCUGCGCCCUGACGUUUUUUAAAAAGAUAGAAAAUAUACUACUUCUAACCUUUGUAACAACACAAAAGCAUAUGCGCAAAGACGACCUGAUUGAAGACAAGUAUGAACGAAAAGGCGGCUCUAGGUAAAGCCCGCCUCCAGCACUCCUACCCUGCAGAGUACAUGGGUACUUUUUGCGUAAAGAACAGGUAAAAAGAUUAAUUCGUCAAGACAAGAUCAACAGCUGUCAAAACAACACACAACGUCAAGCAACUGCCCCUGUCUCAGCUCCAUCAGACUAUCCGCUGACAAAAUCAGUAACUUCUACAGAAGUGAAGAUCUAUUUAAAAAAAAAAAGAAAAUAGGAUGGAAGUGCUUUAUCUGCCACACCUUUGGCCACUUCACACAACUCUGGAAAACUGCGAUAGUCACAAUGAUUCACAAGCCUGGAAAAAAAGCCAUAUAAUAAUACUAGCUACAGACCAAUCAGCCUUCUAAGCCAAGUGGGGAAAUUUGUUGAAAAAGUUUUCACCUCAAGACUAACCAGCCACAUAGGAGAACAUGGGGCUCCCGGGUGUCCUCCGAGCUGAUUUCAAGAGAUAAAGUUUCUACACAUUCAAGGGGAUCCAGUUUGUCCUGCAUGAACUGAGCAAGAAUUCUUACCUUCAGAGAAGAGCAAGAUUUGUAGGCUGUUUUCCAACAUAUCAGGUCAAAUGUUUGGCAGAUUGUGGGCGAUUGUGCUGUCUAAGACUAAUCUGACUUCAGCAUUCAUUGGCCAGCUUGCCAACUGUAGAAGAUGAACUUAAAUAAAUAAAUAUUCAGUAUUUUAUCCAGC